GUCAGAUUUAUUGUGGCAGGGGCAAACAGGCCAAGAGUAAAAUGAAGCAGGAAACUAUGGCACCUGACACCUCUAGUGGCCCACACUUUAAUCAGAGCUGGCAGAAAUUAAUUCAAGAGGAAUUUUUACACGGCUCCGCUGUCGUAUUCCGCCUUUAUGCUUGACUACAAAAAUCCUAAGGAGACUCUCUUGACAUCCCAAAACAAGAAUUCCUAUGUCCCUUUCUCACUCAUCCUUCUCAUACAAUGGUACAUAUUGAAGAAGCAUUUCCACGGGUACCUAUGAAUGUGGAUUUGAACACAUUUUUUUUCCAUCUACUACAGUAUCCAUUUCAGAUGCUUCUGACAGGAAUCUAAUUACAACUCUAUCAAGACCCAAAGUACUGUUGAGCUCACAGGGAGUGUGCACACCUACUAGAGUGUGUAAGCAAAUGCUAACAUUGAUAUACUAAAGACCCAACCUUACCAGUUGUAUGUAAAUACUUUCAUCAAUUGAAUAACUGCCUACCCUUCCGCUUCUCCUAAAUCUAAAUAUGCUGACGAGUAGCUAGUGGGAAAUAUCUAUAUGAAUGAUGUAUAAGUUGCUUGUCUUCCAAGACCAAUAAUGUCACCCUGAGAGAGGCAGAAAGAAGUUUCAGUCUUCAAGACAGAUGUUAAAGAUGUCCGGACUUAUUUAAAGGCUUAUCAGGCAGAAUUAAGAGGAUGAUUACUUGGUUUCCAGCAGUCAGGAAUAAGACCAGUGAUUGCAUUUUCUAAGAAAGCAGAUAAUAAGGGAGUCCUUUCUCAAAGUUACCCUAAGGCAAGAAGACCUGCAUUCAAAAACUCUCCAUUUGCAAUCCCAUGGAUACAAGCAGAGGCUUUAUGAAAUUUUCUUUGGCUGAAAAGGACAGUCUAAAAGCAGGGUCUGCAUUUAAGAGAGCUGCAGGACAGGUGAGCAGAAGGAGUGAGGGUGGUCAGAGCUUCGGGAAUCUAAACAUGCUAGGAAGCUGCUCAUCUACAGAGCCAUGCUCAGCACUUAAUAAAAACUAUACCAAUAAAAAUGUGUUCCAAGGUACAAGAAGGGCAGAGAGGGAAAUUAGUGGUGAAAGGGUGGAUUUACAACCAUCCGGGCACCAAUUUUUAUGAAUGAACCGCAUAAUAAAGUUAAAGUGAAACAAAAAACUUUUAUUCUUUUUUUUUUCCUUGGGCAUGAUUCUGAGGGGAAAGUACUUUCAUCA
Non-coding RNA from Peromyscus maniculatus bairdii (prairie deer mouse), 1216 nucleotides. NCBI's taxonomy places the organism in Eukaryota, Metazoa, Chordata, Mammalia, Rodentia, Cricetidae. The record is from RefSeq and is a predicted model, not a curated record.